CCUUACCCUAGAGGCAUUGCAGGUGUAGCUGCUGUGUCACGUGUGCACCAGUAGGUGGCAGAGAGGAAAGAGGCUAUAUCCAAGCUCAGUGUUCUGACUGAUGAAAAUAUGAAUGAUUCACAGCACUCCCUAA
Molecule: small nucleolar RNA, 133 nt
Organism: Acomys russatus (golden spiny mouse)
Lineage: Eukaryota; Metazoa; Chordata; Mammalia; Rodentia; Muridae
Product: small nucleolar RNA SNORA17
Exons: 1
Source: RefSeq, a predicted model, not a curated record